Molecule: long non-coding RNA, 15542 nt
Filed under: Solanum tuberosum (potato)
Lineage: Eukaryota; Viridiplantae; Streptophyta; Magnoliopsida; Solanales; Solanaceae
Description: long non-coding RNA (STUB_LNC002975)
Source: RNAcentral
UUUUUAAUAGUAUUUAUUUUUUUAAGAAAUAAUAUACUCAUUAAUACGGGUUACACGUGCAAACCCAGAAAACAUAUUUAGUCGUAAACUAAAAUCUGUUGCUCUUUGUUUCACAGUAUUGAUCUGACUGUGAAUUUAAUUAACCCGAUUCAGAUGUAGUGGAAGAGCACUCUCUUCUUAUAGUGUUGGAUGAAUGAGUAAGUGCUUAACUUUCGCUCAAGCUCCGCAUCUCGUCAUACUUGUCUCUUAACCCUUGAAACUUGAGUUCAUCAUCAUCAUCAUGGGAUCUUGAUUCCAAGCUAAACUCAGGAAGGUCAAGAUGAUCUUCAAGAAUGCUGACUACUGCAGACAUGGUUGGCCUAAGUGCUGGAGAUGUAUUGGUACAUAGAAGGGCUACGUUUAUCAUCCUUAGAGCCUCAUCCUUCUUGAAAUCUGAACUCAAUGUUUCAUCUACUAGUUCCAUCAGUUUUCCUUCCCUUUUUAGAACAAGGGCCUGAAUAAAAUGCAAAGAUACUAGUUCAAAAGUUUGGAAAAUAGGAAUUGAUAUCAGGGAUAAUGAGUUGUUACCCAAUCUAGAAGGCAAACAAAUUUCUCAUUGGGGCGAUAUUUCAUAUUGUUCUUCCCAGCAACAAUCUCUAACGCAACAACUCCAAAACUGUAGACAUCUGCUUUGUAGGUUAAGUAUCCCCAUAGUGCAUAUUCAGGGGCGAUAUAUCCUCUGCAGAACAGAGUAAAACUUUAGAUUCAUGCCUGUGUUAUUUCUAAACGUGGCAUCAACUUCAUGCUUGAUGUUUCAGUAUAUGAAGAAUGGCUGAUUCGGAUGAGAUACAAGUUAAGUUCAUUGGAAGAAACUUUAAGAAACCAUUUCUAUCACUCAAAUUGAAGUAAUGCAAUCAAUACCAGAAAUAUGAUCAAGCUUCCAAAUGAGCCUUCUUUAAGGGAAGCCAAGCGAUUAUGUUCUAGUCCUUGUAACUUCACCACCUUUUUUGGUUAAGAAUAUGUAAACUAUUGCAAGUUACCUUGUAUAAGAUAUCGAAAAUGCAAGAAAGAGAAUGUAAGGGUCUUAAAUGUAUAUAUGCUGCAUGUAUGAAAACAACAUACGGACGUACAUCAAUCAGUUUACGCUGCAAAGUUCUGGUGCCGUUGCAGAAAGUUAUGAAAUGUAGAAUUAACCCUACUGUGCCGUAAGUAACAGAUAUAUUUCUUACUCAACGAACACAAAGCAUAACAUGAAUAAAAGAGCUUGUCAGAAAACUCACAUGGUUCCAGCAAUUCUAGUGCUGAUAUGUGUUUUAUCCUCAUCGUCAAGUUUGGCCAGACCAAAGUCAGAGAUCUUUGGGUUUAGUUUCUUGUCAAGAAGUACAUUUGUUGCUUUGAUGUCCCUAUGAACAAUUUUUAAUGACGAUUCUUCGUGGAGAAAAGCUAAGCCUUUUGCUAUCCCAAUGCAGAUUUUUUGCCUUGUUGGCCAGUCUAUUCGGAGACGAUGUUCUUCUGGACCUGCAUUUUAAUGAGAACUAAGAAUCUAUGCAUACCUUCUCUCAUUUUGAACUCUUUCAUGAAUUACGAACGAGCAAUAUUUCUUCUUAUUUCAUUAAGCUUAUUUUCUGUUUGACUUGUAAGUUGUAACUGAAAACAAUGAGCAAGGAUAGUAAAUUACCAAAUAAAGCACGGGCGAGGCUAUUGUUCUCCAAGUACUCAUACACCAAUAGAAGUUGAUUUCCUUCAGCACAACAUCCAUAUAGUUUGACAAGAUUUGGGUGGUGUAAACUAGAGAUCAUACCUAUCUCAUUUACAAACUCGCGGUUCCCUUGUUUUGAUUUGGAUGAAAGCUGCUUAACAGCAAUGACUGUACCAUCCAGUAGUGUACCCUGCUUAUUAAUUAAAAACAAAGAAGAAAUAAACAGGUCAUGGCUGUCUAUACAUGCAUAACAUCCACUUCUAGAUGUUGUAGCUAAACGAAAAAGGGUCAAGGUAAAUGGUUGUAGUGUGCCCUGCAGUGGACGGAGGACCUAUAAUAACAUCAAUUGAACCCAUCCUUUUCAUUUGUACUGUAGUAAUAUGUGAAAAAACUUUAAAAUUAUACUCCAUCCAUUUCAAUUUAUUUGUCUUACUUUCCUUUUUGGUCAGUUUCAAAAACAAUAUAUAUCUUCCCUUUUUUUGGCAACUCUUUAAAAUCUUGGAUUUUCCUCUGCUUGCAUGUGUAAGUAAAUGACUGCAUGGGAUGAGGCAUUGGUAUGUGGAGAGAGAAAGAGCAGAAAGCUUGUGAGUGAUCAGAUUGAGAUGCACCUUGUAGACGGAGCCAAAACCACCUUCCCCCAAUUUUAUUUGCAGCAUCAAAGUUGUUUGUCGCGGCUUUGAUUUGUCUGAUGGUAAAUACACCAGUCAGUAGAUCCAGUCCUCUUAAUUCUGUACAUUUGCAGUAAAAAAAAACCAUUUAAAAUGUGUGACACUUCCAUAUAAUGUGGAAAAUCAUGUACUUGUAUGAAAUGCGCAUCUCCAUAAUGUUCUUGUUUUCAAAAUCCAUCAUUUUAUUUUGAUAAGAACUUUUCAGGAAAUCAUGGAGAACACAAUACAGUAAGUUCUAUCUAUUUAAGAAAUAAGACACAAAAUAGGCUGGUACUGUAGCAUCACCUUCUUCCUUUGAUAUACUGUUUCUGCUUCUCCUCCAAGCAACAAAGAAUAUUGUAAAAAGGAGAACUAAUGAGGACGCCACUACUCCAGCAAUGAUGUGAGCCAUCUUUUUGUGAUUUGAAGGGGGCUUGAAAUCUAUGAUAUAGAAAAAGGAAGAGGAAGAGUGUAAAAUGCACUUACAUUUGUUUUUAUGCUUUUAAUCUUAAAGUGAUUUGAGGAAAAAGAUGAAGUUUUUUCUCUAGGCUCUCUGAGAAUAAUUAACAUGUGGAAGCAGUAUCAUAAUUUCUUCAUGUAAAAGGUCACCAAGGUAAUAGAAUAAAGUGUAGAGAGUCUGUGAAAGAGAAAUAAGUGAAACAAAGGGUAAUAGUAGUGUUACUAGCUUCAAAAGAGAUGGCAGAAACUAAAGGGCCAUAGCUUCCUCUUCUAGGGACAGCUGUUGUUCCUUUCCCAGCAUACUGAAAACGCACUUCUAGAAUGCCAUCUUCUACAGAUGCAUUGAACUUUCUUGUCAAAGCUGUAUCAACUCCUCCAGCAGUAGUUCUAAUGUCAAAAUCUUUGAGCUUCCUUUCACCCUGCAUCCAGUUAUAUUGUUAGCGAACUGCCCCUAAACCUUGACUCAAUACUCAGAUUUAUAUUUAAUUGACCUAAAUAUAGACAUCAAACAUCCGUUUUCCGAGACUCUGGAAAGAUCGGUUAUCUCUUAUAACAAUCUCUGCAAAGUGCAGUGUCACAGUGUAGUUUCCAUUUGCUAAACAACGUCCAUAGUAAGUUAGAGAUAAAGCUGAGAGCCGAGCUGUCGUGUAUAGUUCAGAAUUGUGUCCCUUAAUGGAAGAUACGUUAGUUGCCUUGUACUUGUACGAUGUUAUGUUAACAUACCAGAAGUCCCCGGUGUUGCUGGAUCCCCAGCUCUCUUUCCUGUUGACAAACUUUGCAGCACCUGCGGAAUCUUCAUCUGCUUCGUAAGUCGUGUCCCCUAUUGUCACAUUCUCUCCACCACAAUUUAUGUGCACUGAAUACCAAUCUGUAUAUAAUUAAAACAAUUAUCCAACAUUGCCUUUAUGUAACAUGACACAGUAAGAAACAAAAUUGUCAAGCGCUCUCUUUCUCCUUUAUCAACAAGAAUUUGAUGUACUGUAUAUUUAAAAGAAGCAGUAGAGUAUAUGAGAACAAAAUCUUAGAUAGAGAGAAAAUGAAUCAUAGUCUUGUAGAAAGAUAAACUUACUCUUUGAACAAGUUAACAAGCAUUUCCCAAGUUCUCUGUAUCAAGUUGGAAAGAGGGUCAGAAGGCAUGAACCAGUUGAUAAUUCUCUAAAGAGAAAAACUAUGCAUCAAGUGUCUUAUAAGACAAGUUAAAUAACUUACGACUUUUUUGUUGAGUUAUAGCUUUUGAACAAGUUUCUGAUAAGAAGAAGGAAAUGUAGCUUAGAGAUAACGACAGAUGGUGUCCCAAUAACAAAAAUGAGUGGGAAGAAGACCAAGGUUCAAGGAUCAUACAGGGGUUUCCCGACAAGUAGUUGGCACGGAGCUUUCGUUGAAAUUGUUGUAAGAUAGAUCUAUGAAACUUCAAAUGGUGCAUAGCAAAAUCAACAAGUGUGUUGCACAAAAAGAAAUUCUUUUAGGGAUACUAUAUGUAUGAAAAAUUGGCAUUUAUGGGCUAUAUGCCCUUAGAAUCUUAAGUUCUUGUGAUGAAGAGAAUCUAGCAUUCUCAUGGCAUGAGUAGGUUAUAAGCAAAACCAUGCUAAUCCAAAGUAAUAAACUUACUAGUCGGGAUUUCUAUUUUCGAUCCAAUCUUGAAUUGGUCCAGUAAGUCUAUUGCUUGUCAGGUACCUUGUGAAGCAAAAUCUUUAAUUCAACAGAUAUCAAUUUGAACAAAAAACUUCAAAAUAAAUGAAUCAAGCUCUAAAUAACCUAUAAAAUGUCAGAAACUAAAAUUUCUUUGCAUUAAAUGUGAUUGAAGACUCGGCUCAUUGACAUCAAGUCUCAGGUAUAAAUUUUAUCCUAUGUAUUUCAAUGAAGGAGAAGAAAUUGGCUUUGUUGAGAAUUUACGACCGGCAUAUAGUCAGGCAAGCUAAAAGAAGAAUUUAGAGUAUGAUAAAUUUGUCACUUACAAGUUCUUCAGUUUGUCCAGGCGCUCCAGAUCCAGCGGGAUUGGUCCUUCAAGCCUGUUGAAGCUUAGAUCUCUGCCCAAAAAGAACCAUAUUCAAACCAGAAAAAAAUACUAUACCAACUUGAGACCUAUAGCAUGGAGAAUAUUUUAAAGAUUAUGUAAUGAAAGAAUUUUGGCUAGGUUGAAAUUCCCCUCCUCCUGUUUCCUAGUCUAAACACUGAGCAGAAUUCGUGACAAUAAUCAAGAAGGCCUCAUACAUAAAUUCGGUUAAACAGCAGUGUAUGGAAGGGAGAAAGUAAAGGAUAUCAAAAAAGAAAGAAACAAAUCAGAGGGAAGGCAAACUUACAGACUUUUCAAUUGAGACAUAUUAGCUAUGUAAGAAGGAAUCUGCCCUGAUAAAUUGCAGCUCCUCAACAUCCUGCAGUCACAAAUUAGUUUCAGGAAAGAGAACACUUUCAACAACUAUGGAACCAUUAAUGUAUAAAAGCAAAUCCAAGAGAAUUACUUACAAUUUAGUUAGGCCUGUCAUGUUCUCUAGUGGCGGAAAUUUUGACGCACUUCCAGUCAAGUCACUGAUUCUUCUGUAAAGACAUCAUAUUAAUAUAAAAUCCCAACCAAAUAAAAGGGGACACCAUAAUAAGCAACUAAAGAAAGUAUGCAACCUAGAAAACAACUCACAAUUCCUUCAUUCCAAAAAAGACAGAAAUGCUUGGUGGUACAGGUCCUUCAAAACCCGAAGCUAGAAUCUCUCUGUAAACCAAGCAUGAAGUUUGAUUUAAUUUAAAUCUAAGUAGAAAAUACUAGCUUUUACACAUCAAAUGGUGUGAAAAUGCUCACAAUGCCGUAAGGUUUUUCAAACUCUCAAAGCUAGGAAAUAUUCCGGUGAAGUUGUUACCGCUCAGCCUACUGCAUUGAUGCCAAAAGGGAAAGAAGGAGACUUCAGACAAACAGGAAUGCAAUAGGACCUAGAGGGCAUUAUAUUGAAAGUAUAUUCAGAGGUACUCACAGUUCUUUUAAUUUUGUGAGUUUAUUGAUUUCCUCAGGCAACUUACCUGUGAGAUUAUUAAAACUAAGAGUGCUGCACAAAGCAAAAGGCAACUAACUGGUCAAGAUAUUCUAAAACCAUUCAUUUUUCAUCUAAAGGAGGCUAGUUAGGAAGGCCUUACAGAUUCUGCAGAUUAACCAUAUUUCCGAGUUCUUUUGGAAUAGUUCCAUCAAAUAUGUUAUUUUCCAAACUCCUGAAAGUUUCGCAGUCCAUCUCAAUAAAUGUUAAAAAAAAAGACUACUUAUCCUCAUGAGUGUGCUGAAAUCCAAGAGAACAUACAUAUAAAGUAGUGUAGUCAUGUUUCCCAAGUAUUUAGGAAUCGGCCCAGAGAGUCGAUUCACCAUAACAGACCUGAAAACCAUGAAUUAUUGGAUAGUUUAAAUUAAAGGGACCUUUUGUAUGUAAUGUCUAAAGUAUAAAGUGCAAUUCAAGUGCAGCUCACAUAUAUUCCAGUUUGAUAGAUGCCCAUUCAGGGGGAAUAGUACCACUCAAAUAGUUGCGCGAGACAUCACUGCAGGACAGAUGUUGAACAAUAUAUUUCUCAGGCAAAGGAUAAUCAUAAUGAUUAUCUGGUUUAAAAAAAAAAAAAAAAAACUCCUAAGAGUUUGAAAAUACAGAUCCAACUUCCAAGUCAGUUAAACAGUACAUUGUCUUGAGGUAAGGUAACUUGACCAGGGAGGGAGGGAGAACACCUGCAAGAUCUUGUCCUUUGAGUAAUCUGUUAACAUUAUAAGAAGAGUUAACAUUAUAAUUUGAAAUCCUGUUGCUUUACAUUAUCCAAAUAUGAAAGCAAAGAUUGUUUAUUAGUUCAAAAUUUUCAUAUCCCAGUGUAGUAAUCAAACUGGUUCCAGAUAAAUAAACAGUGUUUUGACAUAGAGGAAGAAAUAUAUAUAGUGUGUCAUGUAAAUAAAGUUCAUUUCAUUGGAAUUUUUUCUGUUUUACCUUGGAGGAUUAUUAUAUAGUGUUUAGGGGUAUAGUAUAAAAGCAGGAGCCUAUGCUACUCAUAGCAGGCGUUCAAUGUUUUCCUGAUAUUUUUAUUUUUUUUGCAUUAGAAGUAGAUAAAUAUGUAUAAUUUUUUGUUAAAGCAACUGAUUUGAAGUAAGAAUUUUUCUUUUUUUAAAAUUUUUACCCUCCCUAGAACUCCCACCUUUUCCUUGCUCCUGGCUCAAACUCACAACCAUAGAGUUGGAGGUGGAGGGUGCUUACCAUCCCUCUUGUCGGAAUAAGAGUUGGAAUUCAUCUUUUGGUGGGAAAUAUCUAUUUUUUGGAAAGAAAGCAUUUUUCUAAUACCAAAAACAUUGGGGCAAAUAAGAACAGGAAGAAGCUCACAUGAUUUGUACAUGACAGAAACCAUCAGGGGUAGAGCAAUUGCAGGUUACAUUGUUGACAUACGUCGAUGUACUGUCAAUUUUUGGUGUAGUCCAAUUUGUGUUGACCAUUACAAGGAUUUCAAAUCAAAAUCCCAGUCCUUUUUACCCAACUGCUCCGCUAUUUCUAUAAGAGCAUUCUCUGCAAAAACCAUAAAAAGUUGUAUACAACAACUCAUAAAAAAUGGAUUUUUUCUGUAAAGAUUCAAACUUUAUAUGCGAAGAAUGAGAAAGAUUACUUUCAUGUUGAGGAAGAAGACGACUGUAAUUUUGUGCCUCAAUGGUUUGUACUAGAAAGCAGAGGACUAAGAAAAGCAGAAAAGAAGAAAUACUGAAAUCAUAUAAUGCUGACAUUUUCUUUAAUGCUCAAACUUGCAAAGUUUCAUUAUGUUUUAUAGAGGAACGUGAUAGAUAUGGCCUCUCACCCUAAUUACUCGUUCACUUUUUAAUUGACAUAUCUAAACCAAUGAUUGACCUUACUAUUUUACCCUAUUAAUUAUGAAAUACAUGAAUUUAAAACUUUAAAUAUUUAAUAAGUUUUAUUUUUUUCGAAGUAAUUAAUUGAGGGUAUAAAAGGUAAAAAAUAAUAAUUUAUUCUUUCUUGAUUUGUCAAAAUGGACAAGUAAUUAGGGAUAACUCAAAAAGAAAAAAUGGACAAGUAAUUAAAGACAAAAUAUAUUAGUACUACAUGCCGACAAAAUAGUCCAAUGUCUCCAUAAUCUAUUACCGAAUUUCCAACUAAGCCACUCAAAUAUUUAGUGGUCUAAAAUUCAUUAAAUAGUCCAUGUGUUAAUUUUCAAUUAGAGGUUAUAUAAUUAAUCCAACUUUUUCAAAAUGAAAUUAUUCUUGAUAUCACAAAAUCACCAUAUACAUUUCAUGAUUUCUUCAGACUUUUUCCAAAGUUCUUUAAUGGUAGUCUCUAAAAUUGUCUUCAGGAGUACCAAAUCAAUUUGUAGCUAUUGAUUUAUACUUAGUUAAUCAUUUGCUAAUCAUUUUUCACAACAAUCAUCUAAAUCACAAUAAUUUUUCAAUUUUGAAGCUAAAAAUGGAGUUCAAGUGUGAAGUGUCAUCAUGUCUAUUUUUGGGUCGUGACAAAGGAUAGCUUCUCCCAUGAUAAGACAAGAUAUGAUGAAAUUUCAGGUUACCAAGGACAUGACCUUAGAUAGGAGGGUGUACGUGGAGGACGUAUUAGGAUAGAAUUUAGAAGGUUAGUAGGUAAUGUAAUGUUGUCUUGUGGUUGGGGUUUGACAUGGUGCUAGGUAUAUCAUUGUAGUUCUUUUUUUUUUCUUUUUUUCUUUUUUUUUUAUCAUUGUUUAUUAUUGUUUUCAAUAUUUAAUCUAUCCUAGCAUGUUGUUUAUUGUGUUUCAAUUAUCACAUUAUAUAAUUGAUGUUUUUGUCUCCUUUCUGGUAGACUUUGCAUUGUUUUAUUUCUUGUUACAGUUUGCUAUAUUUUCUUCACUGCCUCAUUCUUCUUUAUACUUGGAUUUGUUGUACUUGAGUCAAGGAACUUUCGGAAACAAUCGUUCUACCUUCACGAGGAAAUGUUAAGAUUUGCGUAUAUUUUACCCUCCCCAAAUUUCAUUAGGUAUGUUAUUGAUAUCAAAAUUAAACGAUCCUUAAUGUAUGAAAAAAUGUUAUCAUUUUUGUCACGCCCCGAGCCUACACCCUGGGCGGGACCGGCACUCGGAGACCAUUGCUAGCCCCAAGCGAACCCUUGGCCUGGCUUUCUUAACUCAGCGGAAACUUAACUCAACAGCACAACUCAAUGCAAUGAAAAGGUUAUAAAACAACCAACUGAUGCAUAACAUGCCAAAAGGCAACUCGAGUCUCAAAAUAGAAUAUUUACAUAUAUAUACAUAGAUGAGAGACUCAAUACUAACUGACUGACUGUCUAUGAAGCCUCUAAAAAUCGGAGAUGGAUGUUAGGACAGACCCCGCAACACCCUAAUAGAACAAAACUAAGAACACAAAAUAAUUGAGUCCUCCGGAAUGCAAGGAGGCUCACCAUUGACUCUGGAGUACUCAGCUGGAUCAACGACGUGCUGGAUGCUGAUCCUGGGUACCUGAGUCUGCAUAGUCAUAAGAUGCAGGCCAACUGGCAUCAGUAUAUGGAAUGUACAAGUAUGCGAGCUGGAAACUCAACUCAACCUGACUGACUUCUUUCAAUAUAAGGCAAUUUAAAACAAGUGCGAUAUAAAGAAAGACUGUUUAAAACAUGUUAUAAACUCUGUGUGUAUGCAAAGAUACAAUAAGCCUGAGAUGUAUAUAGAAAUACAAAUGAACUGAUGUAUAUACAAAUACAAUACUCUUUGUGUAUAAAAAUACAAUAACUGCUGUGGGAGUUUCUCUAACCGACAACCAUCACAUGAAGCUAUAGUGAUGAUACAGCGAUCGACCUCACGCUGCCAGAGCAUCUUAUACCCGGCCAAAGAUAUAAGACCUGAACUGCCUAAUGGAUCCACUAGUCUAUCUGGAAAAAGAUUCAUCUAAAAAGUAUGAUCAUUUUCUACCCAUGGUGGCUAACAUGGUUCUAGGGGGGCUGUGGGUUUCCUUGAACGCUCCCCCAACUCGGUGCUCGAUACUACUCCCAAAAAUGUACUUGCUCUUAUGUUUUUAAAACAUAUACUUCCUGCUGAAUGAGAUAAUUACUCAAAAACUAGCCCGAAGGCUCUUUGGAAAUUUUAGUUUCCAACCUUGUCUAAAUGUAAAAACAUUUCUUUAAAACUUCUUUGGGAAUACAUAGUUCCCUAAUAACUUUGAGAAAUGAACUCAACUUGAAACUCUGGACUCUUUACUCUUUACUUGACUUGCAACUUGAGCCUUAGAAUGAAGUGAAAACGUUCAAUAAAGACUUUUGAACAACUUUGAAAACUUGCUUGAACUAAUUUCUUAACUUUGCUUGACUUGACUCUAACUUCUCUUUAACUUGAUACUAACUCGCCUUGAAUUGAAUUAUGGAUUCAAGAUAUAUAAUCACAUGUUAUGGAUGAGUUCUUGACAUUUAAACGCAACUUGAAGUGUUGAAAACAACUAGGAAACAUGGGUAUAAUACCUAGGAGCAUGCACGAGGAAGUGUGAAAAGAAUGGGGGAACUUGGCAUCCUUGGCGCUCUGCAAGGCGCGGAGCGCCAGCCCCAAAACUUCAGAGGGGGCCUGCUGGCGCUCUGAGAGGCGCACCACCCCCAAGGGGGAAACUUCAGAAUCCCUUUUGGGGGGCGCUGGCAGGCGCGACGCGCCAACCCCUUGCCCAGAAAACUCGACUUUCUCACCUUGUUUUACCAACUCUAAACCACCCUUACUUCAAGGGUUUUAACCCCAAACAAUAAGGGUCAUAAAAUCCCUCAACAUACCAUAGAUUCAGCUCAAAACACAACCAAAAACAUGCCCAAAACAACAAGGGACUUCAACAACANNNNNNNNNNUCCGGACGGAUUCCCUGCCAACUGCCCAACUUUCAAAGGGCAUAACUCACUCAUACGAACUCGGAAUCGAGCAAACUCGGUGGCCUUGGAAAGAUCAUUCCACGAGCUUUGCAACCAUAAUUGGAACUACACCUAAAUCAUCCUGAGCUAGUAGUUAUGACUGCUCAAAAUUUGGCCAAAAACUCACCUUUUUCCAUACUUAGCCAAAUUUCCAGAUUUUUAAAUCUUUUCAAAAAUGACUAUUUCCAAUUCUAAGCCUCUUCAUAAUUAUUUCAAAUCGUCGGUUGUUAUAAUUUCAGUCCUUCAUAUAUAUACCAUGUAGUUAAUCAACAUAUAUAGUUCUUAAUGUAUGAAAAAAUGGUCAUUUUAGUCUUUCAUUUAUACUAUGUAAUCGAAAUAGUCCCUAAUGCAUUUUUUAAAAAUCAUUUUUGUCCUAAACCUUAAAGGUAACCGUGCAAGUAACAAAUAUGUUAUGCUUAAUACCAAUAAUUAAGGGCCCGUUUGACCAUGUGAGAUCAAAUCAUAUGCGAUGAAGUUGAAGUUUUUGUUUGGAAAUGCAAUUUUGAUUUUUUAAGUUCUAUUUUUUGCUCAUAAGCAUGAAACCUCAUAAGUUGUGAAAACUAUCAAAAUUAUCCCAAUUUUUUAAUACAAUCUUACCAAAUAAGUAAAACUUUAUAACAAAAGUAUAAUACACUACCACAAAGUUAUUCUAAAACAAAAACACAACAUUUAUUGAUUGAACUUUAGUUCAACAAAAAAGUCAAAUUGAACAUGUUUCUUUAAUAAAAUUGAACAUGGUUAAUAUCAUUAGUAACUAUAUCAUCAUAUUCAUAUUUCGUGAAUAUGUCAUCACUUCUCUGGUAUUCUCGUAAAAAUUAUUUAGAUAUAAAAUCAUGGAUUUUUUUACAUAAAAUAUAAACUUAUGGGUCAUUUUUUGUAUUUGAAAAAUGUAAAAUCAUGAUACGAAAUUCUCAAAUCAAGUUUUUCAGAGAAUCUAAGAUUGCAUCUCAUGAUUUCAAAUCGCAUGUCCCAAACUCUAAUUUCAUCUUAUGAUUUCAAAUCGUGAGAUAAAAUCACAUAACCAAACGCUACUUAAGUAUAUUUUUGCUUUUGAAAUCACAACCAUUUGUGUCUCUUGCUUGCUGCAAGAACAAAAGUUAAUGUUUAUUAUAAGUUUUUAAACAUUAAUUAAAUAUUUUAAAGAAUUAUGAUAGUAAAACAUACAGCAGUUAUGAAUAACAUUUAAGAGUAGAAGUUAUAAGUAAGAAAAAGAGAUAUGAAUUGUAAAUAAUUUAAAUGAUAUUAGAAAAUUAUUUUUAUAUCUUUGCAAGCAUAAUAAAAAUAAAACUUUUCAUAAUAAUUUUUUUGAUUGAUUAUGCUUCAUAACAAAAGAAGCAAUUUUUUUUUACUAAUACGGCUUUCGAAUGCUGCUUGAUUACCUAUGUCGGUUGUGUUAACGAAGAUUUGUGUUUUAGUUCGGCCAUAAUACGAAAUUUUCUGAUUGGAAAUUCAGUGGACUAGAAAAAUCGACAACCGACAAGAUUUGCUUUAUGUCUUGAAAAAGUAUUACAAUAAUAAUAAUUAAAAAGGGUAGAGAAAAAAAUAAAUAAAAUUGACUAGUAUUAUUAUUAUUAGUUGAGAAAUGAACCCUAUUAGCUUAAGAUCAUAAAAUAGACAUCAGUGGACUUGAGACUUAGACUUUUCUUAUAAAUUUUUAUUAUGUUAGGCCCCAAUCAAUAAUAUCAUUGGAAAAUUAUUAGUCCUUGUGAACCCUCUCAUAAUCUAUUAUUUGUCCUUAGUUUUAGUUUUUGACACAUUCCUUGAAAAUAUAAUCACUCCUAAUAAGAAAAAAUGUGUUUUUUUAAUUAAUAAUCACCCUAGGCAAUAACAUAAUCCAUGUGAUGUUUUAUAUAAAAGUAAUUAUGGCCGAAUUUUCUUAGUUUCUUUCUUUAAUAAAAAUUCCAUAGGAAUUUGGUUAAGGAAUCCAAUGAUCACUUUAACUUUAACUUGAUUACACAUUCUUGAGUUUGAGUUAUGUGUAUGGAGAAAAUUAUAUUGGGGAGUGUCACCCUCAAAUGGACCAUGCAGCAUGCGAUUCAGAUUCAAUCGAUCUCUCCAAAUGUGUCCGCAGUGCGUAAUCCAAAUUUAGUUGGGAUUCCAAUGUGGGCUUCGAAAAUCGGAUGGCAAAACAAAAAAAGAUAUGUAUCACUCAUUUUAGAUUAUAAAUUUCUUUUUAAAAUACUAUCUUCAAUAAUUUAAUUACAAUCACAUAAAUUAAAAUGAAAACGAAAGGGAUAGUGUAAAUGAAAGCAAGUUGUGUCGACAAGGAUAUUAAUAAUUUAAUAUAGUAGGACAAUUAUCAUAAAAAGAAGAAAUGGUAAAUGCAGUAGUACUAUACGACUUGGUUUUGCUUCACAGUAGCUAGCUAUAUAUGAUGUUAAUUUGACAAUAAUAUUUCUACGUAAAAAAAAAAAUAACAUUCAGUCACUAACUGGACUACUGGAGCUGUGCGUUGGAUUAUGCUCUAAUCAAGAUUUCUGGAUGUUAAUGGGAGGAUUAACCAAUCAUAUUUUUCUUUUCUAACUUUAGCUUAACAUCACAAUCCAUACUUUCCACGUAUUUUGAAGAUCAUAAGUAUCAUCAAAAUUAAACAAACAAAUUUAAAUCGAGGAGAACUACUUGUAGCUUGUAGUUCCAAAAAGGAUCAUAAGUUUCAUCAAAAUUAAACGAACAAAUUUAAAUCGAGGAGAAAUAUUGCUUGUAGCUUGUAGCUCCAAAAAGGAUCAUCCCCUCAUAUUAAACUAGAGGCGGGGUUCUAAAUUUCCUUUAAAGAGUUGAUAGUGGGGUUUGAACCCACAACUUUAGCAUGGAAAACAUUUGUUGGGGGUUCACAAGUUAACAUACAUAUAUAUAUUUAAUUUUUCAAUACAAAUAUAGAAUCAACAGAAAGGCUAUUAGGUUUGUCCAAACCAACAAACCCCACCUAGCUCCGCCUCUAUAUUAAAUCCUAGAUUUAGAUAUAUAUCUUCCUCAGAUAUGACAGCUAGCAUUCUUGAGUGAUACUGCCAUUUAUAUAACACAUUUAUUUUAAAAUAUGAGAUUUUUCAAUAUUUGAAAAUUAUUUUAUCGUAGCAUCUCAAUUUUACUCUCAUUAAUGAUUAGACUUGUUGGAACUCUAACCACUACUCAUUUAAAAUAAAUAGAUAUAUGGAACUAUCAUCCUCAUCAAUGCCAUAUUUUGAUACUUUGCAUAGAUUUUGCUUAGGGAAAAGGGUUCAAAAUAUUUUUGAAAUAAGUCAAUUUAUCUUCUAUUACAUUUUUGGCUUAAAAUAUCAUUGUUGUUAAUCAACUAGCUCAAAAAUGUUUUAUAACUGACCAAAUAGCUCAAAAAUACAUUGUCUUUGUGACUCCAAAACAAAGAAAAAAGGAUUAAUUUGUCUUUGAGCUAUUUAAAAUGGAACUACAAAUUAAGGUACUAUAGAUUACUUGAUAGAGUUACAAAAACUAUUAGAGUAAUCAAAGUCCAUAAUACUCCCUCUAUUCAAUAAUAGUAGUUCAUUAUUACUUGAUACAGAGCUUAAGAAAUAUAGAGGAUAGGGGUAAUUAUAGCAAAUCACCCUUAAUAAAUAUAAGUCAUCUAAAUAUUGUUCAGUCUGAGCCUAGGCCUGCACGACUUUAAAACGCGUUACUAGUUGGUAAGACCUACUUACUUAUAUACCCAACAUAUCUUCUAUGUUUUUGCCAAUACGUGACUUCUUGUCUUAAGUUGGGGCAUCACAUAUACCCCUCUAUGGACUAAUCGGGGCCGAUAUGAGACUUCUUGUCUAAGUUGGGGCAUCACAUAUACCCCUCUAUGGACUCAUCGAGGCCGAUAUGAGACUUCUUGUCUUAUAAGUUGGGGCGUCACAUAUACCCACUCUAUGGACUCAACGUCCUUGCUGAGGUUUGCCCCACCGUAUGAGAUAUGCCAUCAUGGGUAUUUGCGCUGAGUUUCUUACCAUAAAUACUCAGCUUUGAUGUUUGCCCUGUUGGGUGCUGACACUGGAGUGGCUCUCAUGACAUUUGUAACAGCCCAUCCCGCUAGUGAUAUUGUCCACUCUAGGUUUAGACCCGCAUGAAUUUAAAAUGCAUCACUAGUUGGUAAAACAUGCUUACUUGUAUAUCCAACAUCUCUUCUGUAGUUUUACUGAUGUGAGACUUCUUUCUUGUCUUGAGUUGGGGUGACACAAGUAUUUAAUAGCAAAGAUAAAAUAGACAUAAAAAAGUAAAUUAUCAAUGACUAUAUAUAUAGUACUAACAUACUAACACUUGCUUUGUCCUAGCUUUAACAUUUACUAUUUAUGAGGAUGAACUCAUAAGUUUAAAUUCCUUAUUCAUAUCAGUUCUCAUGGCUGUUUUCCAGACAUUAGUAUUAGUAGUAGAGGUUUACCAUUUGCUUGGAAUGGCGUCUCCUUCAAAGUAGUAUCUGUAUAGGCUAUUACACUCACAUCACAUAUAUGGUCCUAAAAUAAUAUGUUACUCUUUGUUUCACAAUAUUGAUCUGACUGUGAAUUUAUUUAACCCGAUUCAGAUGUAGUGGAAGAGCACUCUCUUCUUAUAGUGUUGGAUGAAUGAGUAAGUGCUUAACUUUCGCUCAAGCUCCGCAUCUCGUCAUACUUGUCUCUUAACCCUUGAAACUUGAGUUCAUCAUCAUCAUCAUGGGAUCUUGAUUCCAAGCUAAACUCAGGAAGGUCAAUAUGAUCUUCAAGAAUGCUGACUACUGCAGACAUGUUUGGCCUAAGUGCUGGAGAUGUAUUGGUACAUAGAAGGGCUACGUUUAUCAUCCUUAGAGCCUCAUCCUUCUUGAAAUCUGAACUCAAUGUUUCAUCUACUAGUUCCAUCAGUUUUCCUUCCCUUUUUAGAACAAGGGCCUGAACAAAAUGCAAAGAUACUAGUUCAAAAGUUUGGAACAUAGGAAUUGAUAUCAGGGAC